GGGUAUAGCUCAGUGGUAGAGCACAUGCUUAGUAAGCAUGAGGUCCUAGGUUCAAUCCCCAGUAAAUCCA
This 70-nucleotide transfer RNA is filed under the name Camelus dromedarius (Arabian camel). It matches the Rfam family "tRNA". Rfam says of the family: Transfer RNA (tRNA) molecules are approximately 80 nucleotides in length. Their secondary structure includes four short double-helical elements and three loops (D, anti-codon, and T loops). Further hydrogen bonds mediate the characteristic L-shaped molecular structure. tRNAs have two regions of fundamental functional importance: the anti-codon, which is responsible for specific mRNA codon recognition, and the 3' end, to which the tRNAs corresponding amino acid is attached (by aminoacyl-tRNA synthetases). tRNAs cope with the degeneracy of the genetic code in two manners: having more than one tRNA (with a specific anti-codon) for a particular amino acid; and 'wobble' base-pairing, i.e. permitting non-standard base-pairing at the 3rd anti-codon position. The record is from Rfam by way of RNAcentral. RNAcentral also lists the same sequence under 1 other name. Lineage: Eukaryota; Metazoa; Chordata; Mammalia; Artiodactyla; Camelidae.